RNAcentral lists this ribosomal RNA (481 nucleotides) under uncultured Chloroflexota bacterium. Its description in RNAcentral is "bacterial SSU rRNA". It matches the Rfam family "Bacterial small subunit ribosomal RNA", at positions 235 to 732 of the family's 1533-position model. The record is from RNAcentral. Lineage: Bacteria; Bacillati; Chloroflexota.
GUCCCAUCAGCUAGUUGGUGAGGUAACGGCUCACCAAGGCUACGACGGGUAGGGGACCUGAGAGGGUGGCCCCCCACAAUGGAACUGAAACACGGUCCAUACACCUACGGGUGGCAGCAGUAGGGAAUAUUGCACAAUGGGCGAAAGCCUGAUGCAGCAACGCCGCGUGUGCGAUGAAGGCCUUCGGGUCGUAAAGCACUUUUAUGAGAGAUGAGUAAGGACAGUAUCUCAGGAAUAAGUCUCGGCUAACUACGUGCCAGCAGCCGCGGUAAAACGUAGGAGGCGAGCGUUAUCCGGAUUCACUGGGCGUAAAGCGCGUGCAGGCGGUUCGGUAAGUUGGGCGUGAAAUCUCUUGGCUUAACUAGGAGAGGUCGUUCAAUACUACGGGACUUGAGAGUGAUAGAGGAAGAUGGAAUUCCCGGUGUAGUGGUGAAAUGCGUAGAUAUCGGGAGGAACACCAGUGGCGAAAGCGAGCUUCUGG